This is a non-coding RNA of Pelobates cultripes (western spadefoot toad), 97 nucleotides long. NCBI's taxonomy places the organism in Eukaryota, Metazoa, Chordata, Amphibia, Anura, Pelobatidae. The record is from the annotation of a GenBank genome assembly.
AGCGCUCUGCCCAGCUCCCUUGCGCACACCGCACUGAUGCGGGAGCUGGAAUAUGACGUCAGUAAGUGGCGUGCGAGGGAGCUGGGCAGAGAGUGUU